CAACAGCUCAAAUUUGAAAUCUGGCCCCCGGGUCCGAGUUGUAAUUUGUAGAGGAUGCUUUUGGUGCGGUACCUUCCGAGUUCCCUGGAACGGGACGCCAUAGAGGGUGAGAGCCCCGUCUGGUUGGACGCCAAACCUUUGUAAAGCUCCUUCGACGAGUCGAGUAGUUUGGGAAUGCUGCUCUAAAUGGGAGGUAUAUGUCUUCUAAAGCUAAAUAUUGGCCAGAGACCGAUAGCGCACAAGUAGAGUGAUCGAAAGAUGAAAAGCACUUUGAAAAGAGAGUUAAAAAGUACGUAAAUUGUUGAAAGGGAAGCGCUCAUGACCAGACUUGGGCCCGGUUGAUCAUCCAGGGUUCUCCCUGGUGCACUCUUCCGGCCCAGGCCAGCAUCAGUUCGCUGUGGGGGAUAAAGGCUUCGGGAAUGUGGCUCCCUCGGGAGUGUUAUAGCCCGUCGUGUAAUACCCUGCGGUGGACUGAGGUUCGCGCAUUCGCAAGGAUGCUGGCGUAAUGGUCAUCAGCGACCCGUCUUGAAACACGGACCAAGGAGUCGUCUUCGUAUGCGAGUGUUCGGGUGUCAAACCCCUACGCGUAAUGAAAGUGAACGCAGGUGAGAGCUUCGGCGCAUCAU
RNAcentral lists this ribosomal RNA (626 nucleotides) under Thelonectria veuillotiana. Its description in RNAcentral is "eukaryotic LSU rRNA". It matches the Rfam family "Eukaryotic large subunit ribosomal RNA", at positions 102 to 761 of the family's 3401-position model. Lineage: Eukaryota; Fungi; Ascomycota; Sordariomycetes; Hypocreales; Nectriaceae. The record is from RNAcentral.